Molecule: ribosomal RNA, 387 nt
Filed under: uncultured bacterium
Lineage: Bacteria
Description: bacterial SSU rRNA
Rfam family: Bacterial small subunit ribosomal RNA
Source: RNAcentral
AUUGAACGCUGGCGGCAUGCUUUACACAUGCAAGUCGAACGGCAGCGGGGGCUUCGGCCUGCCGGCGAGUGGCGAACGGGUGAGUAAUGCAUCGGAACGUGCCCAGUCGUGGGGGAUAACACAUCGAAAGAUGUGCUAAUACCGCAUACGUCCUGAGGGAGAAAGCGGGGGAUCUUCGGACCUCGCGCGAUUGGAGCGGCCGAUGUCGGAUUAGCUAGUUGGUGGGGUAAAAGCCCACCAAGGCGACGAUCCGUAGCGGGUCUGAGAGGAUGAUCCGCCACACUGGGACUGAGACACGGCCCAGACUCCUACGGGAGGCAGCAGUGGGGAAUUUUGGACAAUGGGCGCAAGCCUGAUCCAGCCAUGCCGCGUGAGUGAAGAAGGCCU